This 496-nucleotide ribosomal RNA is filed under the name uncultured bacterium. RNAcentral's name for it is "partial 16S ribosomal RNA". It matches the Rfam family "Bacterial small subunit ribosomal RNA", at positions 29 to 507 of the family's 1533-position model. The record is from RNAcentral.
AUGAACGCUGGCGGCGUGCCUAAUACAUGCAAGUCGCGCGAACAGACGAGGAGCUUGCUCCUCUGACGUUAGCGGCGGACGGGUGAGUAACACGUGGAUAACCUACCUAUAAGCCUGGGAUAACUUCGGGAAACCGGAGCUAAUACCGGAUAAUAUAUUGAACCGCAUGUUUCAAUAGUGAAAGACGGUUUUGCUGUCACUUAUAGAUGGAUCCGCGCCGCAUUAGACAGUUGGUAAGGUAACGGCUUACCAAGGCAACGAUGCGUAGCCGACCUGAGAGGGUGAUCGGCCACACUGGAACUGAGACACGGCCCAGACUCCUACGGGAGGCAGCAGUAGGGAAUCUUCCGCAAUGGGCGAAAGCCUGACGGAGCAACGCCGCGUGAGUGAUGAAGGUCUUCGGAUCGUAAAACUCUGUUAUUAGGGAAGAACAAAUGUGUAAGUAACUAUGCACGUCUUGACGGUACCUAAUCAGAAAGCCACGGCUAACUACGUG